This 213-nucleotide long non-coding RNA is filed under the name Homo sapiens (human). Its description in RNAcentral is "HSALNT0400304". The record is from RNAcentral. Lineage: Eukaryota; Metazoa; Chordata; Mammalia; Primates; Hominidae.
GACCUCUCAAAGUGCUGGGAUUAUAGGUUCAGCCAGUUCUCCUGGGUAUUCCAAGCACACAGUCAUGUGAUCUGUGAACAGUGGUAACUUAGCCUUGACAUCUCACUAUUUUACUGGCACUUCUGACUCUCCUCUGAUUUUAUUGUCUAGCCUUCUGUAACCAGCCUACAUAAGAUCACAGCUUCGGUCUGUAUUCACAGAAAUAAAUUCCCA